AGCAUAUCAAUAAGCGGAGGAAAAGAAACCAACAGGGAUUGCCUCAGUAACGGCGAGUGAAGCGGCAACAGCUCAAAUUUGAAAUCUGGCUCCUUCGGGGUCCGAGUUGUAAUUUGUAGAGGGUGUUUCGGGUGCGAUGCCGGUCUAAGUUCCUUGGAACAGGACGUCGUAGAGGGUGAGAAUCCCGUAUGCGACCGGCGAUCAAGCCCGUGCGAAGCCCCUUCGACGAGUCGAGUUGUUUGGGAAUGCAGCUCAAAAUGGGUGGUAAAUUUCAUCUAAAGCUAAAUACUGGCCAGAGACCGAUAGCGGACAAGUAGAGUGAUCGAAAGAUGAAAAGCACUUUGGAAAGAGAGUCAAACAGUACGUGAAAUUGUUGAAAGGGAAGCGCUUGCAAUCAGACCGGUCCGGAGGCGAUCAGCCGCUGCUCGUCAGCGGUGCACUCGCCUGCGAUCCGGCCAGCAUCGGUUUGGGCGGCGGGAUAAAAGUCCCGGGAAUGUAGCUUCCUCCGGGGAGUCUUAUAGCCCGGGUCGCAAUGCCGCCCGCCCGGACCGAGGACCGCGCUUCGGCUAGGAUGCUGGCGUAAUGGUUGCAAGCGACCCGUCUUGAAACACGGACCAAGGAGUCUAACAUCUAUGCGAGUGUUUGGGUGUCAAACCCAGGCGCGGAAUGAAAGUGAACGGAGGUGGGAACCCGUCAGACGGCGCACCAUCGACCGAUCCAGAUGUCUUCGGAUGGAUUUGAGUAUGAGCAUAGCUGUUGGGACCCGAAAGAUGGUGAACUAUGCCCGGAUAGGGUGAAGCCAGAGGAAACUCUGGUGGAGGCUCGCAGCGGUUCUGACGUGCAAAUCGAUCGUCAAAUCUAGGCAUAGGGGCGAAAGACCAAUCGAACCAUCUAGUAGCUGGUUCCUGUCGAAGUUUCCCUCAGGAUAGCAGUAACGUUUUCAGUUUUAUGAGGUAAAGCGAAUGAUUAGAGGCCUUGGGGCUGAAACAGCCUUAACCUAUUCUCAAACUUUAAAUAUGUAAGAAGUCCUUGUUACUUAGUUGAACGUGGACAUUUGAAUGUACCGUUACUAGUGGGCCAUUUUUGGUAAGCAGAACUGGCGAUGCGGGAUGAACCGAACGCGAGGUUAAGGUGCCGGAAUGCACGCUCAUCAGACACCACAAAAAGUGUCAAUUCAUCCAGACAGCCGGACGGUGGCCAUGGAAGUCGGAAUCCGCUAAGGAGUGUGUAACAACUCACCGGCCGAAUGAAUUGGCCUUGAAAAUGGAUGGCGCUCAAGCGUGCUACCCAUACCUCGCCGCCAGGGUAGAAACGAUGCCCU
Molecule: ribosomal RNA, 1321 nt
Filed under: Sticta fuliginosa
Lineage: Eukaryota; Fungi; Ascomycota; Lecanoromycetes; Peltigerales; Lobariaceae
Description: eukaryotic LSU rRNA
Rfam family: Eukaryotic large subunit ribosomal RNA
Source: RNAcentral